Oncorhynchus gorbuscha (pink salmon) is the source of this 1701-nucleotide long non-coding RNA. RefSeq lists it as uncharacterized. The transcript is spliced from 3 exons. Lineage: Eukaryota; Metazoa; Chordata; Actinopteri; Salmoniformes; Salmonidae. The record is from RefSeq and is a predicted model, not a curated record.
ACAUAGUCAAAAGUCAUACUGCUGUGUCCCUGGAUGUAACUCCUACAAAAGGAGGAAGUCAUGCAGAGAAUGAACUUUUCACAGUUUCCCCAAAGACUGUGCAAUCCGACGCCAAUGAGUGGUGGAAAUAAAGCGAGUUGUCAGGCCACAUUAUAAAAGUUAAUUGACAACAACCAAAGUGUGUUCAAAACACUGUUUGCGGACUCCUUUUUAAAGACCAUAAGUGGGAAACGGAUGCUAAAAGUGCAGGUUGUGCCGACUGUGUUCACCUGGAUGUCCACCCCGAAACUUGGCAGAAAGACCAUCAUCAGAAAAGCUGCAAGUGAGGCUGCCCGUCAUGGAAAGGAUGCACCUGCCGAGGAACCAGAUGAGCUAAGGUAGUUGUUUAUUAUUACAUACGUGUCUUUUCUGUCAUUUUCAACAGUUCAUAGCAGGUACAGUAUAUGUAACCGAAUCUUGUAUCUACAGUGACUCUCUGGAUCAGGACCCUCAAGCUGAGAAUAUGGCUUGCCAAAUCAUGUUCAGACUUAAGUUCUGAACUUAACAGUCACUUUAGUGUUUUUUGUGAGUUUACAAUAUUUGGUUUAGCCUCGAUCCCGUUUACAAUCAUUCACAAUGAAUGCAUCAGUAUCUGCCUGUCUGCUCUACAUAAAGGCCAUGCAAGUUCAUUUUGAGUUGUUUUUCUGUAAGCCUUCUACUAACAGAAAAGGAACAUGUAUUAAUUUGGAAUAGAACAUGUAGAGUUGGCAGUAUUCAUUUUGAGAGCAUGUGGUUGGGCUUUUAAAGCAGCUUGAAGAGGCACGCAACGAGGUCCCUCGUCAAGUCGAGGAAAUUGUGAAGCUUCGGGCAAACCAGUUCUCCUUCAAUGCUUCCUGUGUGACAAGAAGAACAACAUGUUUUACAACACUGGAUUUAGGGACUACAGUACUCUAAAAGGUGUUUUUCUGACAUUACAGCCAACAGAAGAGACCAUGGUUAGAUGGAGUCAGGUACAGUGCUUAAACAAAACAGAUGAACACACACUUAGAGUUGGCUUUAAAGGAACGAGAAGCUUCCGUAUUUCCCCUGCCAGUGCUUUCACAGAUGUUAUAAAUGGCAGAUAUAAAAAUGUGUUCUCUGUCUGUCUCUAUGCUGCUUAGACCUCUGGUCCACACUCCAGUCCUGUUGGUGGCGGUAAUGCACUUUGAAGUUGGUUGCCAGCGGCCUUAAAAAAUACACAGAAGAAGAAAAAUGAUCUCUAUUCUGCCACCUCCUUGCUCCUGCAGGGAGAAAUUGAAAGUGGUGUUGUCUAAUGUAGUUUAUUUGUAGCACGAGGAAAGCUUGCUAGGCUUUUAGCCACCUGCAGCCACAUAAACGAGACAGUAAUGGAAUAGAAAUAUGAAUAUCCGUAAUGCUUUGGACCGCGACUAGGAUGUUGAAGGCACAUUGGGCACAUAAUAUGUUGUUAGCUAGUUAAUCAAAAAUUCUUAAUAGCCAUGUAGUUGAUGAUAAAGAUGUUGAUUGUUGAUUGUUUUUUAAACGCAAAUAUGCCAGCAAAAAUAAUUAAUGCAAUAACAUUAACUGUUAGUUAGCUAGUUAUUAUUAUGAAUGGCCAGUUAGCUAACGUAAACUAUAAUCAGCACCGGCCUGUACCCUCCCUGCGCUAAACUCUCUCCUGGCCCAUUAAAAUAAAUCUGAAUUUGUCCUGCUAGGUGACCUAUG